RNAcentral lists this ribosomal RNA (219 nucleotides) under Platygloeales sp. Its description in RNAcentral is "partial large subunit ribosomal RNA". Lineage: Eukaryota; Fungi; Basidiomycota; Pucciniomycetes; Platygloeales. The record is from RNAcentral.
AAACGCUUGAAGUCAGACGUGCCUAGCCGGGUCCAGCCUUUUGGUGUACCCCCGGUGGCAGGCUAGCAUCGAUUUUGGGGGUCGGAUAAGGGCUUGGGGAAUGUGGCAGCUUCGGCUGUGUUAUAGCCCCUUGCUUGAUACGGCUUCUGAGAUCGAGGAUCGCGGCUCGCCCUUGUGGCAGGGAACUCGUUCUCUUCCGAGCCUAGGAUGCUGGCGUAA